This is a long non-coding RNA of Podarcis raffonei (Aeolian wall lizard), 1376 nucleotides long. RefSeq lists it as uncharacterized. The record is from RefSeq and is a predicted model, not a curated record. The transcript is spliced from 3 exons. Lineage: Eukaryota; Metazoa; Chordata; Lepidosauria; Squamata; Lacertidae.
UAUCUGUCACUCACUCUGACGCCACUCGCCAUUCCAUCACACACAAACACACCUGCUGUCACUCCUUCUUCUGUUAACACUUCUCCUUUCAAAUAACUGCCUGAAUUUGGUGCUUCAUGACAACAAACAGAGGACGAUUUUGGUAUAAAUAGCAAUAUGCAUUUUGGAUAUGCUCACUGCUUACUUAUUACUCCCACCAGCAGGGGUGUCACUGUAGUUCCCUCAGAUAUACUCCCAGUUAGUGAGGCAAUCCAUGAGGUAGAGAUUGUUCCAAAAGAGUACCUUUGACUACUGUCAACAGCUGCUACUGGACUAAAGCUGGCAAUUGGUUCAUUGUGGGCGGGAAAGAUUGAAGGCUAAGCUUAUAGUGUUGACCCUUUAAACAAAAAAAUGAGUGCCCACUCCUAUGUCUAAGAAUGAUAUAUGCCUAGCAAUGUUGCUGGUAGCAACAGAAAGAUGCCAAGGCAUCAUGAAGUUUCCAUCAAUACAAAUGAGCUACUAAGUGAAAGUGAGUUAGCCAGGAGUCAUAAGAAGAGUUCAGGAAGUUGUGCCCUUGAUAUUAAACAAGUGUCUCAGCUGUCAAGAGAGUAUGAGUAAUACCUAUCAUUAUCUUGACAAACAGUCUGAUGUAGGAAGUAAUGAGAUUGUCAUCUAAAACAUUGUCAUCUACACCAUUGUCCCCAAAGUCCAGUCAGCUGUGGUCCCCCAAGCUAUUUUCAGUAUAGCCAUAAUUGUAAAAAAACCACACACACAAAAACACCACCUCCUAUUACCUUGGGCAUCGAAAGCAGAGUGGCAAGCCAACCAAAUGUGCCCUUCAACAUCCAACAGAAAGCCCCACCUCAGCACAAAAUAAGAACAACAAACAACAUAAUUAACAGACUCAGCCGGAGAACAAGCAUAGUAAUGACACCACUCUGAAGGCAGCAGGUGUGAAGAAUUAGGAACAAGCUAGCUAUGAGAGUUUAUCCCUGGCAUUUUAAACCAGGGGUGGCAGACCUGUGAACCUCUAAAUACUCUGGACUCCAGUGCCCAUCAGCUCCAGCCAACAUAGCCAGUGGUGAGGAAUGAUGGAAGUUAAGAGUCCAACAACAUCUGGAUGUCUCUGGUGAGACAUCCCAGAGCAUGUCCUCCAGAUAGACUACGGAGAUUAUUCUGCCCCACCUACUUUCCUCUCACAUCUGCCAGGUGUAAACAACAACAGCAACCUAGAAUCCUGCUUGUUACUAUAAGGGGAAUGUAAGCAAAGAGGCUGGCAGAGGAACAGGGGAGGGAGUACAGUAUUAACAUCCUCUCUUGGUGCUUUUGAUUAUACUGAAAUAGACCAAGGGAUAAAAAGCUGUAAAAUGAACCAAACAUAUAAUUGUGGGGUUUUA